RNAcentral lists this ribosomal RNA (98 nucleotides) under Saimiri boliviensis boliviensis (Bolivian squirrel monkey). Lineage: Eukaryota; Metazoa; Chordata; Mammalia; Primates; Cebidae. The record is from RNAcentral.
UCUGCAGCCCUACCACCCAGAAGGCGCCUGAUCUCAUCUGAGCUCAGAAGCUGAGCAGGGUCGGGUCUGGUUCACCCUUAGAAGGGAGACUGCAAGAA